GUAUUUAUGGUGUAAAGGUUUAACAUAACAGAUUGUGGUUCUGUAGAUUUGAGUUCAAUUCUCAAUAAAUACCCU
Molecule: transfer RNA, 75 nt
Filed under: Crassvirales sp.
Lineage: Duplodnaviria; Heunggongvirae; Uroviricota; Caudoviricetes; Crassvirales
Description: tRNA-His
Rfam family: tRNA
About the family: Transfer RNA (tRNA) molecules are approximately 80 nucleotides in length. Their secondary structure includes four short double-helical elements and three loops (D, anti-codon, and T loops). Further hydrogen bonds mediate the characteristic L-shaped molecular structure. tRNAs have two regions of fundamental functional importance: the anti-codon, which is responsible for specific mRNA codon recognition, and the 3' end, to which the tRNAs corresponding amino acid is attached (by aminoacyl-tRNA synthetases). tRNAs cope with the degeneracy of the genetic code in two manners: having more than one tRNA (with a specific anti-codon) for a particular amino acid; and 'wobble' base-pairing, i.e. permitting non-standard base-pairing at the 3rd anti-codon position.
Source: RNAcentral